UAUAAAUACUUGUUCAUUUGUGCUUAUGACUGACAUACCGCGGGCCAGACGGGAAUGCCCAAAGGGCCGUAUGUGGCCCGCGGGCCGUAAAAUGCCCAGGUCUGAUUUAAAGAGUUCGGGAGAUAGGAGAAGAAGGCGUGAACCGUGUAAUCUCCCUUGUCAGAUACGCUGUCAACAUUACUAAAUUUAAUUGGACAAGAACGCUAUCUGUCACACAUACUGCAUCCUGAUUGGUCCAACUGAUAUAAAGGACGGAAUGCCAAGAGCACAGAAGCAAACACAGAAGAUCGAUAUGAGAAAGAAAACAAACCAAAAAAAAAAAAAGAAAAAAGGGUACGUCAAGUCUCUACUAAAUCUUAUCUUAUAACACUUGUAUGCAUAUAUUUGCGCCUGAAAGCUUUGGCAGAUCCAUAGGUUCGUACCAGCUGCUACACGCUAGCCCAGCUAACAACUUCUCUCAACUUCUGUUGGCUUUCUCUUAACUUUUGAUUUCUCUUGCUCUAAAACGUAUUUUUUAGCGAUGUCUGUCAAGAUGGCCGAUUUACAUUUCCUACCGUUUUCUCUUGUGUUCUUUCGUGGUCCUGCUCUGGGCUGAGGUGUGACGGUCUCUGGUGAGAACUCAGCUUGCACUGGAGGAACUGCAGAAGAUUCAGAUGUCUCAGUCUGCACUGAGAGAACUGGUGGUGGCGGCCGGCCUGUCCAAAGACAUCACAAAACUAAAUCAAAACUAUGAUGGACCGACCAGAUUUAGCCCAACAGACCAGGACACAAGCAUGACAAUAAAAGGAUAGAACCUCGUUUUCCAUCACCAGUCCUGUAAGGAGCAAUUCUCCAUCUGGGUCCAAAUCUGCAUAUGCCAGCCUGAUCUGCUCCCUGGCCCUGUGCAGUGACUCUAGCCCUCUCUCACUUUCUGCCACUGAAAUAGAAAAAUGUAGAAUGUGUCACCUCAGACUGAUCUGAAAUCUGAAAAGUCUUUCCAGGACAUUUCAUUUUAAUAUUAUCCAAUAUCUAUCCCACAGAAAAAGAAAGUCUGAAAGUUUGUACUGUAACACUAUUACUCUGCAGGUCAUUAUGUCAUCAAUAUUGCACACACGCCACACGCACAGAGCUGGAGCAACAGAGAUUGCUUGUCACUUUUUUGUUGGUACGUUU
Molecule: long non-coding RNA, 1152 nt
Organism: Mugil cephalus (flathead mullet)
Lineage: Eukaryota; Metazoa; Chordata; Actinopteri; Mugiliformes; Mugilidae
Exons: 4
Source: RefSeq, a predicted model, not a curated record